Taeniopygia guttata (zebra finch) is the source of this 2175-nucleotide long non-coding RNA. RefSeq lists it as uncharacterized. NCBI's taxonomy places the organism in Eukaryota, Metazoa, Chordata, Aves, Passeriformes, Estrildidae. The record is from RefSeq and is a predicted model, not a curated record.
UGGCUGGACACGAUACUGCAUGAAGUGGGAAGCUGAAGGUAUUUUCACAGAGAGAGACAAACUGUUCCUCAACACUUCAUACCACAUAUGUGGCCUCUGUAAGAACAGACAUCUAGACAUAAGUAUAAUUUGGGUGUUUGGUAUAUUUAAAAGAAAAACCCCAAAACACAACAAACUGCAAUAUGGGAGGGCUGGUCUCAUUUUUAGCUGUUAAGAUACGGAACUUGCAGUUGUCUGUCAGUUACUGGAUAUAUAAUCUGGUAUACUACUAAAACUCACAAGAUGAGCUCAUGAAAUCACUAUUUGCUUGCUUGUAAGGGAAUUAUGCCUGAAAUCUGCAGUGAUGUAACCAGGUCAACCCCACAGGAGGUUUGUUCUGAUGCCAGGUGGAGCCAUGUACCACUUGUCCUUAUUACGGUAAUUUGUUUCCAUUACUUUAAGAUUCAGCUACGGUAAGAUACAGAUUUUUCAACAUGUAGGUUAGAGUGAAAUCAGUAAAGAACACUUCCAAGUAUUAAGUCUGAUGCUUGACAGUUUGCUUUCAAAGCUAGGCAAGCUCAAUGCUGUCAAUUCCUUCUAAGAUCAUCUCUGUGCCCGAGUUCAGCUGUGAAAUAAAAUUACGAGGUUAACAUACUGCUGCUGGUGAUGGAUAACAGACAAGGUUGUCUUAAAAUAAUCCAUUUAAUUAACUGCUUCUGAAAUAACUGGCCUGCAUAUUAACGAUGUCCCUCUUAUUAAUUAGGCAGUACUAAAAUACUGUGUUGAAUAGUCUAUUGUAAGGGAGAAGAGAAUUCACUUGUUAUUUCAGGAAGGUUUAUUUCUGUUUCCCUCUCAGCCUGAAACAGUCCUUGCCAGGCUUGAAUAGGAACAGGAGGAUACUGCUGUUUCCGUGUUGAGGUUUGCCACUCUCAACUGGCCCUAGACGCUUUUCAGUUGUAAUUAUGGAGAUAGGAUGAAUGCUAAGUGAUAGAAUGGGACCACUUAACUGUGAUAGGUUCCUGAGGCAGCCAGCACUGAUUGAGGGAAGUCGUGUUAAGUUGCAGUGGGACAGUUACACAAGGACAGAGUGGCCCCAGCACAUACAGCUAAGAGUGUUGAGAAAAUAUGUUUGAGAGCAUGAUGUUGAGAGUGUUCUCAAUAUUUUGGCACAUAUUGAAUUUGGCACCUCCUUCAUUCUCACACUCUGCCUUUUAUUUCAGGUUUAGGAAUGCACAGAAGAAAACCCUAACUGCUCAUCACAAAAGCCAAAUGACUGAAGACAAUGACUCAACUUCCACAACAAAAAGGACUUACACUUGCCCUUUACUAGCGUAGAUCAGCUUUUUGCUAGAGGAGAAAAACAUGCACUGCAUAUAUAGCAUUGCUGUUCUUAUUACAGCUUGAUAACCCUUCCAUGGAUCAUUUGUCAAGAGUUUAAAGAAAGCAGUUAAGCCGUCCACAACAGUGCAAGAGGAGACCAGGCUUCACCUGAUGCACAGCAGCUUAACUCGACCACAUUGAACCCAGGUCAGAUAAUCUACAGCAUUAGCCUGAAUGAAAGCUCACCAAAAUUAUUUUUCACAUCUGUAACAUGCAGCUGAUGGAUUUUAAACAAAUAUAACCACCUCAGCUAGGGAGAGGUGAAAAGCCACAUGAUAUAACUGUAUUUUCAUGUUCCAGGAUCAGAAGGAGAUGAUGACAUCUUGGGUGAAUUUGUGUAUAAGGGUUCCAUCACACCCCCUCUCAACUACUCCAUGCUGACAAGCCUUUACUUAGUGCAGAGAGGCUACAAAACUAUGAAAAAAAUUUAAAAAGGUAGUUUCAGAAAGCUUUAUUGAAUACUUCUUAGUUUAUUACAGAACCAGUAAAUUACAUUUUGCAUUAGCCUGCUUUGCACUUUCCAACCAGUUCUGGACGAUGUUACAGGAACUCUGUACUACCAUACCCAGGAACAAGUACAGUUUGGAAGGACUUCUAGUGGUGUUAGAGUGUGACUGUGACAGGCCUGAAGACAGGCUUACUUUGUCACAUGACACUACAGGUAGAGAAAGCAGAUCUCUUAAAAUGCUGUCAUGCUGGUUAACCAUAUGGCUUGUCCAAAGGCUCUUCCCUUCUGCUGUCUUCACCAAAAAAAAGCCAGGUGCCUCCCUAUGUUGUUGCACUCUGUUGUUCAUCCCAAACCCAGGGUUGUUGCAA